Molecule: RNase P RNA, 370 nt
Filed under: Candidatus Oleimmundimicrobium sp.
Lineage: Bacteria; Bacillati; Actinomycetota; Candidatus Aquicultoria; Candidatus Subteraquimicrobiales; Candidatus Oleimmundimicrobiaceae
Description: RNase P RNA component class A
Rfam family: Bacterial RNase P class A
About the family: Ribonuclease P (RNase P) is a ubiquitous endoribonuclease, found in archaea, bacteria and eukarya as well as chloroplasts and mitochondria. Its best characterised activity is the generation of mature 5'-ends of tRNAs by cleaving the 5'-leader elements of precursor-tRNAs. Cellular RNase Ps are ribonucleoproteins.
Source: RNAcentral
GAAGUGGGCCGGGUAAUCGCCUUGCAGAAAUACUGCGGGGAGGAAAGUCCGGACUCCAUAGGGCAGGGUGCCUCGUAACACGAGGGCGGAGUGAUCCGACGGAAAGUGCCACAGAAAAGAAAACCCCUUGUUUAUUCGGGGAAAGCUGAAACGGUGAGGUAAGAGCGUCACCAGCACCGCUGUAAAGCGGUGGCUUGGCAAACCCCACCCGGAGCAAGACCAAAUAGGGGAGGAAUCGUGGCAGCUCGCUGCGUCAUAACUCCCGGGUUGGUCGCAUGACUUUAAUGGCGACAUUAAGGCAAGAUGAAUGAUUACCUAAUCCCGUCUUUGGCGGGACGGACAGAAUCCGGCUUACAGGCCCACUUCCAAA